AGUGAACGCUGGCGGUAGGCCUAACACAUGCAAGUCGAACGGCAGCACAGUAAGAGCUUGCUCUUACGGGUGGCGAGUGGCGGACGGGUGAGGAAUACAUCGGAAUCUACUUUUUCGUGGGGGAUAACGUAGGGAAACUUACGCUAAUACCGCAUACGACCUACGGGUGAAAGCAGGGGAUCUUCGGACCUUUCGCGAUUGAAUGAGCCGAUGUCGGAUUAGCUAGUUGGCGGGGUAAAGGCCCACCAAGGCGACGAUCCGUAGCUGGUCUGAGAGGAUGAUCAGCCACACUGGAACUGAGACACGGUCCAGACUCCUACGGGAGGCAGCAGUGGGGAAUAUUGGACAAUGGGCGCAAGCCUGAUCCAGCCAUACCGCGUGGGUGAAGAGGGCCUUCGGGUUGUAAAGCCCUGUUGUUGGGAAAGAAAAGCAGCAGGUUAAUACCCCGCUGUUCUGACGGUACCCAAAGAAUAAGCACCGGCUAACUUCGUG
Molecule: ribosomal RNA, 492 nt
Filed under: uncultured bacterium
Lineage: Bacteria
Description: partial 16S ribosomal RNA
Rfam family: Bacterial small subunit ribosomal RNA
Source: RNAcentral